Rhineura floridana is the source of this 4058-nucleotide long non-coding RNA. RefSeq lists it as uncharacterized. The transcript is spliced from 3 exons. Lineage: Eukaryota; Metazoa; Chordata; Lepidosauria; Squamata; Rhineuridae. The record is from RefSeq and is a predicted model, not a curated record.
GUGAACCGAGCAUACACUCUCGUUUUCUUUCAGAGCGGCCAUAUUGUCGGCGGCAAGGGGGUCUGUGGAGUUCGCAGCGGGCGUCCUGAGGGGAGAAGAAGCGGCUUUAGGAAGCCGGGUUCAAAAUGUCGGCGUGAGGGGGAAGAGAAGACUGGGAGAGAAAAGAGCCGGAGGAUGCGGCUGAGGAAAGAAGCGAAUGUCGUUCAGCGAUAAUAGGGGCGAGGGUCAAAAGCCCUCGGUGUGCGUUCGUUCAGGUGUUCUCUCUUGUCAACCAUUUUGAGGCCCACUCAACACAUGCCUUCAGUGCAACUCUGCAUCUCUACUCAGAAGUAAGUCCCACAGAGCUUACUUGCAGGAAUUGUUGCCUGGAAGUGAAGAACCUGUGACAAGUAAUCAGAGGCUGCAAAUGUGUAUGUGAGACCUGGGCCAUUUUGUUUUGGGAAUGUCUCCUCCAGGCCAGAGAUCUUUAAGCUUCUUGCUUCUUAGUCUUUUUGUCCAUGGUAUUGUAAAAAUUUCAGCUUUGCACACACAGUUAUUUAUUGAAUGUCUAUUCUGCCCUUCCUCCCGGAGGAGCCAGGGGUGGCAAACAGAACCAAAACAAUUUGACAAGGAAAAACAAAAGCAUAUGAGAAACAGUUUAAAAUGUUGCAAAACACAAUUGCAGUUAAGCAUUCUAAAACGCAGUUAAAAACAUUCUUUCAUCCGGGAAGACUGCCAGGAACAAUCCCCUUCAGCCACCAACUGCCUGGGUAAACAGAAAUGUUUUCAAAUUCCUCCUGAAAGUCAGUAGUGAUGGAGACAGAUGCACCUCGCGGGAGGGCCACCACUGAAAGGCCCUGUCACAGGGCAGUGUAAACUGGAGAGCACUCAGUGGCAGCACCACCAAUAAGGCCUCACCUGCCAAUCAUAGGGUCUGAGGUGGUUGACAUUGGAUAUGAAGACUAUAGGAGAGAAGAAAAACACUGCUUUACUCCUUUGUUAAUUCAUCUUCUAUUGUUUAUGCCAGGAGUGACUAGCCCGUGGCCCACCAAGCCACAGGAACUGGCCUGCCAGCACCCAUCAUCGCCACCACAGCUUUAUCUCCUGAUCUCUGAUAGGGAGAUAAAUUGUUCUGUAUGAACUUUAGAAAAGACCUCUAAACAGCAAGCAGAAGGCUUUUUAUGUCUCUGAUGAGACAAAUAAUUGGGUGUUAGAACAAAUUAAAGCAGAACUGUCACUGGACUUUGGAUACAUCAUGAGAAGACAUGAUUCACUAGAAAAGACAAUGAUUCUGGGGAAAACAGAAGGGAGUAGAAAAAGAGGAAGGCCAAACAAGAGAUGGAUUGAUUCCACAAAGGAAGCCACAGACCUGAACUUACAAGAUCUGAACAGGGUGGUUCACAACAGAUACUGUUGGAUAUUGCUGAUAUAUAGGGUUGCCAUAAGUCGUAAUUGACUUGAAGGCACAUAACAACAACAACAAAGAACAAAUUAAACCACAACUGUCACUAGAAGCUAAAAUGAUGAAACUGAGGUUAUCAUACUUUGGACACAUCAUGAGAAGACAUGAUUCACUAGAAAAGACAAUAAUUCUGGGGAAAACAGAAGGGAGUAGAAAAAGAGGAAGGCCAAACAAGAGAUGGAUUGAUUCCACAAAGGAAGCCACAGACCUGAACUUACAAGAUCUGAUCAGGGUGGUUCAUGACAGAUGCUCUUGGAGGUCACUGAUUCAUAGGGUUGCCAUAAGUCGUAAUAGACUUGAAGGCACAUAACAACAACAAAACCCCAGCACUGAGACUGAAAACAUCAGCUUUUACUUUGCACAAAAAGGCUGUGUUUCGAGCUCUCCCAAUUACUGGAGUGGGAAGGGCUAGAAAUGUUGGUAGUCUGUGUGUGCAUCUGCACGUUUGUUUGCGUGUGAUGAUAUAUGUACGAGUGUGGCUGCAUGUCUGGUGUUUGUACAUGCAUGUGCAUACAUUGACCCCCUUCACAACAGGCACAUGGAACUCAGAGGGGUGGCUGACUGUCAGUGGGGCCCUUGGGCUGAAAAAAGUUAACCAUCCCUGGUUUACACAAAAUAAUAUAAUGAAGUAGUCCCGUUUUUAAUCCUGAAUGUGCAUUUGGGAUUUGAAAUGUUAUACGCAUGCUGAGCCAGUUAAUGGAAAAAGUAGGGUAUAAUCCAGUGGUGGUGGUAUGGCCAUGUUAAACUGAUUAGCAGACAUGCAGCACAGUUCUAUGUGUGUUUACUCAGAAGUAAUCCCCACUGUGUUCAGUGGGGCUUUCUCCCAAAUUAGAAUGCCUAGGAUUGCAGCCUUACACAGGAAGCUCCAUUAAACAGUCUUGCUUGUGGGUGAACAUGCAGAGUAUUGAAUUGUUACUGAGCCAGGUGUCUUGCAUGGGGCAUGGAACAGGCUUGCAAAAUAAAUCCACCAAAGCUACUAGCCGACCUGUCUAGAAAUCCUUGGCUGUAGUACAUUGGUAGGCUGGGUAGGUGGAGCUCUUUGAUCUGCAGAAGUGUCUUUCUAGCUGAGUGGCUACAGAGUUGAUUCCAAGUUUUUUCCUUACGUCACAAGCAACCAGCACACUGCCCGCUCGUGAACUAGUCAAGUAAUUAGUCCCAUAGUAUCCUAUUAAUAUUUCUUUUUUAGAAACUGCAUUGUUCCUUAAGUCCUAUAGGCUCACUUGCAGAAAAACUUACUUUACACUGCACAGUUUUGUUUGACACUGCACAAGAUGUGUCUAGCUGCACAUUAAAAUAAACCCUGAGGGGCUACAUGACAACAUUAAGGGGUAGCGGGAAACCUGUGGACCUCCACGCAUUGCUGGACACCCAUCAGCCCCAACCAGGCAUGGCCAAUGGUCAGUGAUGAAGGGUGUUUUAGUCCAACAUCACCUGGAGGAGACAUGGGUUCUCCACUCCUGGACUAAAGCAAUUAAUGAGAAAUACAGAGUGUUUAAUGUUUAGAUCUGCAUUCUCUUUCAGGAAUUACCCAAGCAGAGAACAUGAAAUGUGGCUUCUACGCAUACGCCUUUGUCUCUUAAUGGUCUCGUGCUAGAGAGUUUUGUGAUUGAGGCUUUAUUCAUCCUUUCUGAACAAUGGCCUGGAUGGAAAAGAGUGUGCUGCUUAGCCCCUAAUCCAACAGGAUUUGAAGUGACGAUGCAGUAAUUUUAUCAUGGCCAGUUGGGAAGAAGUAAUUUUUUCAGAAUGUUUCCAUCUGUAAACACUUCACACAGCCCUUGUUUGUUCAUCAUUGGUCCCUUUCCCUUAAUAGCAAGUACAUCUGUAACACCUGGGGGAAAAGUUUAUGGGGUCUAUAAAAUCUAAAAACAUCCUGUUUUAAGAUUCUUUAAAUUAUAUCUCGCCUCAACUCUGCAGUGGCAAUCCAUUCGUAAGUAGAAGGUGGUAAGUAUUUUGAAAGCACUGCUGGUGUUUCCUUUUUGUAAAAUAAUGUCUGUUAAAAGUUCACUGAACUUUGGCCAAUACAUUAUUACAGGCAAAUUAGGUACUUUUACAUAGGGUCAGUCAUCAAUCCAUGUAUUGUCUCCUCUGACUGCCAGUGGUUAUUCAGGGUCUAUGGUUGGUGGUUUUUCUGAUCUCUGCUAUGCGGGAUCUUUGAAAUGUGGGUGCCGGGGAUUGAACCCUAGACCUUGUGAGUGCAAAGGAAGUGCUGUACAACUUAGCUACUUUGACAUUUUGGAUGGUGCUAUUGUCGAUAGUUCCAUCAGUGUACUAGAGAGUGGUGCCGCUACAGAGGAGCGUAAGCAGAAAUAAAGGCCAUAUCCUUAUGCCCAAGGGGUUCGCAUCCUAACUCAACAGUGGAUGGGGGUGGACUAAAGACAAAAGGUUGAAGUGGGACAGAGCCAAGGAUUGUGCUAUGAAUUGGAAACUGGAUGCUCUUGCCUUCCCCCAUGUUGCUAACCAGGAGGUGUUUGUCUCCAGAGUAGUGGCUUCUGCUUUGAGAGAUGGCCCUACAUUCUCCUUUGCUUCCUCAAAGUCAUCCUGCAAAUCUAGUUGCUGACCAGACAACAUAACACCCUGAAUUGUACAGGAGCAAAUGUAAGAAUAAGGUGGUUCUUCA